AUUACAAAUAUUACACAUUAAUAUUCUUUCUCAUCUUCCUUCUCAUCUUACUCAUUUUUCUAAAGUUCCUGAAGUUCAUAAGAAAGCAGUUCCUAAAGAGAAAGUACCUGUCCCUGUGCCUAAAAAAAUGGAGGCUCCACAAGCAAGAGAACCUGCAGAAGAACGGGUGCCCACUUUUGAGAUAGAAGUUGAAGAACCUCCAUCAACCAGAGUGACUGAAGUGCACAGGAAAAUUAUCACAGAAGAAAAAGUUGCAGUUGCUAAAAAAGAGGAGGCUCCACCGAAAAGAGUGCCUGAAGUACGCAAGACAGUUGUCCGAAAAGAAAAAGUAUAUGUUGAAGUUCCUCAGUAUGAAGAGGAAGAAGAGAUUCCAACAUACGAAGAGGAAGAAGCCACCAGAUAUGAGAAGGAAGUAAUCCAUUACAAGGAGGAAGUCCACCAUUAUGAAGAAGUUAGUCACUAUGAGGAGGAAGUUCCUCAGUAUGAGGAAGUUCCUCAAUAUGAAGAGGAAGAAGUCACCCAUUAUGAAGAAGAAGCUGCUUAUUAUGAAGAAGAAAUUCCCGAAUAUGAGGAGGAAGAGUCAGAAGUUCCCCAGUAUGAAGAGGAGGCUCCCCCACCAGUUAGAGGUAUACUUUAAUUUUAGGAUUUGUGUGAGAAAAA
Molecule: long non-coding RNA, 660 nt
Filed under: Otus sunia (Oriental scops-owl)
Lineage: Eukaryota; Metazoa; Chordata; Aves; Strigiformes; Strigidae
Description: lncRNA (ENSOSUG00000002651.1)
Source: RNAcentral